RNAcentral lists this long non-coding RNA (1304 nucleotides) under Sorghum bicolor (sorghum). RNAcentral's name for it is "long non-coding RNA (SBIC_LNC012105)". Lineage: Eukaryota; Viridiplantae; Streptophyta; Magnoliopsida; Poales; Poaceae. The record is from RNAcentral.
CGCUGGGCUGGAUGGUACCAAAAUUUCCCGCCACCACAGUGAGCGAAGAUCUAGCUUGGGGGAGAUCCUCUCCCCCACUAAGGUAAGUAUUCUAUCCUAUUUAUUUUCAUGCAUUUUAUCAUUCUUACUUAAAAAAAAAUAAUAAUAAUAAUAAAUAUUUAUUAGCAUUUCCCUUUAGCAUAUAUGCUUCAUGUAUGUUUAUAUCCCUCAUGGAAAUUAUGACUAGUUGCUUGUUAAUGUUUCUCUAGUGCCUAGUAUACAACUUAGUAUUUCUCUAAGUAUGGAUCACUUAGCUCACUUAAACUGCCAUGAACCUAAAAACUUUGUGGGUUGCAAGUGCUAGAACUAAGUCUAAGUUGUUGUGGGACAUGAGAUAGUAAGACAAGAGCUACUAUAAUAUUUUUCUAAGCAUGCAUGAUUAUCAGAGAUUUAUUCUUAAAAUGAUCAAAACCUUAAUUGUUCCUCAAUGGUGAUGAAUUCCUACCACAGCCAUAUCUACUUUACAUAAUUGCAACCUUUCCACAUAAGCUAUUUGCUUUGUGUUGAGUGUCGUCAAGUCUUGUUGACCCUUGUUAAGAGACUUUUCAUGCUCCUAAGAUCAAGAUCACGUACACACCACAUAUAUAUAUGCUGCUUCUACACUGGAAGUACGCAACCACAUGUAUUUCGCAUCCACUAAAUAGGUUGCUCCAUACUCUAAAUGUUAGAACAUCUCUCUAAGCAUUAUUUGGUAAAUGAGACAUCAAAAGGCUAGGCAAAAUGAAAUAAAAAGAUGGACAUGUGCAAGUCCACAGAAAAAGAAAAUUGAGCACAUGAAAGCUCAUAUAUAAAAAAAAGAAAAAAAUGCUAGCCAUGUCUCAAUACAUAGAGAGUCUAUCAAAUAAAGGAGCAACCUAGUCCACCAUAUAUCACACUUGCACAUCUUGAUCUGGGAGUAUGACACUUCUCUUCAAGGAUCCGAGCUUUGACUUCGCAAUACAUGCAAAGUAAGUAUGCUAUCUCCUUUCAUCCCUACCUUGAACUCCACAUAAGCCUUUUAGAAAUAGGAUGAAAUAGAGAAGGCAACUCUUACCAUAUGCCUUGGUGAGGAAUCAUACACCAUUUGAGUGAUAUGAGAGAACCAUAAGAGGAAAUUUAAGCUUUCUUUUGAAAAUAUCACAAAACCUCUGAUAUGAAACUUGCUAAGAAUGAGAAAGUUAGUGCUCAAGUCAAACUGUUCUGUCUCUCAACCACCUAAGACAAAGGAAAAGCCAUAAGCCCCAUAAGGGACUAAGGUAAUAGGGGUAAGUUUACAUAGCUAAAUU